AUGAAGUCGGAAUUGCUAGUAAUCGCGGAUCAGCAUGCCGCGGUGAAUACGUUCCCGGGCCUUGUACACACCGCCCGUCACACCAUGAGAGCCGGUAACACCCGAAGUCAGUAGCCUAACCGCAAGGAGGGCGCUGCCGAAGGUGGGAUUGGUAAUUGGGGUGAAGUCGUAACAAGGUAGC
RNAcentral lists this ribosomal RNA (181 nucleotides) under uncultured bacterium. RNAcentral's name for it is "partial 16S ribosomal RNA". It matches the Rfam family "Bacterial small subunit ribosomal RNA", at positions 1320 to 1500 of the family's 1533-position model. The record is from RNAcentral.